UGGGGAAUAUUGCACAAUGGGGGAAACCCUGAUGCAGCGACGCCGCGUGAGUGAGGAAGUAUUUCGGUAUGUAAAGCUCUAUCAGCAGGGAAGAAAAUGACGGUACCUGACUAAGAAGCCCCGGCUAACUACGUGCCAGCAGCCGCGGUAAUACGUAGGGGGCAAGCGUUAUCCGGAUUUACUGGGUGUAAAGGGAGCGUAGACGGAGGAGCAAGUCUGAUGUGAAAAUCCGGGGCCCAACCCCGGAACUGCAUUGGAAACUGUUUAUCUAGAGUGUCGGAGAGGCAAGUGGAAUUCCUAGUG
This 303-nucleotide ribosomal RNA is filed under the name uncultured bacterium. RNAcentral's name for it is "bacterial SSU rRNA". It matches the Rfam family "Bacterial small subunit ribosomal RNA", at positions 355 to 675 of the family's 1533-position model. The record is from RNAcentral.